RNAcentral lists this ribosomal RNA (253 nucleotides) under uncultured bacterium. RNAcentral's name for it is "partial 16S ribosomal RNA". It matches the Rfam family "Bacterial small subunit ribosomal RNA", at positions 524 to 776 of the family's 1533-position model. The record is from RNAcentral.
UACAGAGGUCUCAACCGUUGUUCGGAUUCAUUGGGCGUAAAGGGUGCGUAGGUGGCGCCGUAAGUCAGGUGUGAAAUCCCGGGGCUCAACCCCGGAACUGCACUUGAUACUGCGGUGCUCGAGUACUGGAGAGGAGAUUGGAAUUUACGGUGUAGCAGUGAAAUGCGUAGAUAUCGUAAGGAAGACCAGUGGCGAAGGCGAAUCUCUGGACAGUUACUGACACUGAGGCACGAAGGCCAGGGGAGCAAACGGG